Molecule: ribosomal RNA, 502 nt
Filed under: uncultured Desulfobulbus sp.
Lineage: Bacteria; Pseudomonadati; Thermodesulfobacteriota; Desulfobulbia; Desulfobulbales; Desulfobulbaceae
Description: bacterial SSU rRNA
Rfam family: Bacterial small subunit ribosomal RNA
Source: RNAcentral
CGCCUUGCCAGCCCGCUCAGAAACUCACAGGAAUUGACGGGGGCCCGCACAAGCGGUGGAGCAUGUGGUUUAAUUCGAUGAUACGCGAGGAACCUUACCUGGGCUCAAAUGUAUGUUGACGUAUUCUGAAAGGGAUACUUCUUCGGACAAUAUACAAGGUGCUGCAUGGUUGUCGUCAGCUCGUGCCGUGAGAUGUUGGGUUAAGUCCCGCAACGAGCGCAACCCUUGCCUUUAGUUGCCAGCAGUUCGGCUGGGCACUCUAAAGGGACUGCCGGUGUUAAACCGGAGGAAGGUGGGGAUGACGUCAAGUCCUCAUGGCCUUUAUGACCAGGGCUACACACGUACUACAAUGGCCGAUACAAAGGGCAGCGACACUGCGAGGUGAAGCCAAUCCCGUAAAAUCGGUCUCAGUCCGGAUUGGAGUCUGCAACUCGACUCCAUGAAGUUGGAAUCGCUAGUAAUCGUGAAUCAGAAUGUCACGGUGAAUACGUUCCCGGGCCUU